AUGAUAAACUAUGAUGUGGAAGUAAAAAC
Molecule: non-coding RNA, 29 nt
Filed under: Rattus norvegicus (Norway rat)
Lineage: Eukaryota; Metazoa; Chordata; Mammalia; Rodentia; Muridae
Source: RNAcentral